Long non-coding RNA from Saccostrea cuccullata (small rock oyster), 383 nucleotides. RefSeq lists it as uncharacterized. Lineage: Eukaryota; Metazoa; Mollusca; Bivalvia; Ostreida; Ostreidae. The record is from RefSeq and is a predicted model, not a curated record. The transcript is spliced from 3 exons.
UGUUGUUUUAGAUGAUGGACCACUCUACUUCCUUUUACAACAGGUGCCACUACAGAUUCACAGUUUCCAAUUUUGAGUUUCCAUGACUAUUCAUCCAUGAGAGUAAAAGGAAUAAAGUUGACAGGACUUAUUUCCGCAAUUUCCCUGGUAGCAGCUUAUGAUGGAACCAACAGCAGUAGACAAACCCCACUUUAUCAAAGAUGCAGUGGCACUGUCUCCAUUACUGGUGAAAUGGAAUAUGACUAGUGGACAGUCAUCACUUUAUAACUCACCAACACAAUUAGUAUGUGGCCCAUCUCUGCUCAUCUCCAAUGGUGGUCUCCAGAGGAAUGGUUGCAGUGCAGUCUUUGUGUCCUGGGCAGGUAACUUCCUUUCCUUUGUUU